GACGCUGUAGCUUAGUGGUAAAGCGUCUGUCUCGUAAACAAUAGAUAGUUUGUUCGAUUCCGCCCAGUGUCU
RNAcentral lists this transfer RNA (72 nucleotides) under Hofstenia miamia. RNAcentral's name for it is "tRNA-Thr for anticodon CGU". It matches the Rfam family "tRNA". From Rfam's summary of the family: Transfer RNA (tRNA) molecules are approximately 80 nucleotides in length. Their secondary structure includes four short double-helical elements and three loops (D, anti-codon, and T loops). Further hydrogen bonds mediate the characteristic L-shaped molecular structure. tRNAs have two regions of fundamental functional importance: the anti-codon, which is responsible for specific mRNA codon recognition, and the 3' end, to which the tRNAs corresponding amino acid is attached (by aminoacyl-tRNA synthetases). tRNAs cope with the degeneracy of the genetic code in two manners: having more than one tRNA (with a specific anti-codon) for a particular amino acid; and 'wobble' base-pairing, i.e. permitting non-standard base-pairing at the 3rd anti-codon position. Lineage: Eukaryota; Metazoa; Xenacoelomorpha; Acoela; Hofsteniidae. The record is from RNAcentral.